AUCAAUCUGGCAGAAUUUGAUGUGUCGGAUUUAGGAUUCGAUUAUGGUGUGAUCCGUUUGGUG
Molecule: transfer RNA, 63 nt
Filed under: Cryptocellus narino
Lineage: Eukaryota; Metazoa; Arthropoda; Arachnida; Ricinulei; Ricinoididae
Description: tRNA-Leu
Source: RNAcentral